RNAcentral lists this ribosomal RNA (965 nucleotides) under uncultured bacterium. RNAcentral describes it as "bacterial SSU rRNA". It matches the Rfam family "Bacterial small subunit ribosomal RNA", at positions 483 to 1448 of the family's 1533-position model. The record is from RNAcentral.
CCAGAAAGGGACGGCUAANUACGUGCCAGCAGCCGCGGUAAUACGUAGGUCCCGAGCGUUGUCCGGAUUUAUUGGGCGUAAAGGGAGCGCNGGCGGUCAGGAAAGUCCGGAGUAAAAGGCUAUGGNUCAACCAUAGUGUGCUCUGGAAACUNUCUGACUUGAGUGCAGAAGGGGAGAGUGGAAUUCCAUGUGUAGCGGUGAAAUGCGUAGAUAUAUGGAGGAACACCAGUGGCGAAAGCGGCUCUCUGGUCUGUCACUGACGCUGAGGCUCGAAAGCGUGGGUAGCGAACAGGAUUAGAUACCCUGGUAGUCCACGCCGUAAACGAUGAGUGCUAGGUGUUAGGCCCUUUCCGGGGCUUAGUGCCGGAGCUAACGCAAUAAGCACUCCGCCUGGGGAGUACGACCGCAAGGUUGAAACUCAAAGGAAUUGACGGGGGCCCGCACAAGCGGUGGAGCAUGUGGUUUAAUUCGAAGCAACGCGAAGAACCUUACCAGGUCUUGACAUCCCGAUGCUAUUCUUAGAGAUAGGAAGUUACUUCGGUACAUCGGAGACAGGUGGUGCAUGGUUGUCGUCAGCUCGUGUCGUGAGAUGUUGGGUUAAGUCCCGCAACGAGCGCAACCCUUAUUGUUAGUUGCCAUCAUUAAGUUGGGCACUCUAGCGAGACUGCCGGUAAUAAACCGGAGGAAGGUGGGGAUGACGUCAAAUCAUCAUGCCCCUUAUGACCUGGGCUACACACGUGCUACAAUGGUCGGUACGACGAGUUGCGAGCCGGUGACGGCAAGCUAAUCUCUGAAAGCCGAUCUCAGUUCGGAUUGGAGGCUGCAACUCGCCUCCAUGAAGUCGGAAUCGCUAGUAAUCGCGGAUCAGCACGCCGCGGUGAAUACGUUCCCGGGCCUUGUACACACCGCCCGUCACACCACGAGAGUUUGUAACACCCGAAGUCGGUGAGGUAACCUUUUAGGGG